AUGGAGACGUGGCACCGGAGCAGUGUGGAUGGCAGGGGAGGAUUGGUGGUUGGACAGCGUGAUCUUGGAGCAGCGCCCUGCUGCUCGGUCCUGCACAGCUCGGCCCUGCUCAGAGCCCACCUUGCUCUCUACCGCCUCGCAUCCUUUGGUGAUGUCGUGGACGCUGCUCACCAUGCUGUGCCCACAGCCUGUGCCAUCCAUGCCUCGCUGCCGGAGCUGCUGCCCUUUGUGGGAGAAGCCACCUGCCCCUCCAGCAUCACCUUCAGUGAGGAUGAGCUGCACCACAAGAUCCUGGCACUGCUGCAGCUGCUGCUGCCCUACUGCGUGCUGGGGCUGAAGCCCUGCCAGCCCCUCGACUGCCAGAGCCAGGAUUUCUUGCACAGGCUCACUCUGUGCGGGCUGUUGGAGGCUGAAGAGGUGGAUGCCCUCCAGUCUUGGUUGGGAAGGGAACAAAGGACUGCGGCACGAGUCCACUGCUCCCCUGGAUCGGGAGAUCUGAGAGCCCAAAGACUCGCCUAG
RNAcentral lists this long non-coding RNA (519 nucleotides) under Meleagris gallopavo (turkey). Its description in RNAcentral is "lncRNA (ENSMGAG00000019015.1)". The record is from RNAcentral. Lineage: Eukaryota; Metazoa; Chordata; Aves; Galliformes; Phasianidae.